Molecule: non-coding RNA, 26 nt
Filed under: Mus musculus (house mouse)
Lineage: Eukaryota; Metazoa; Chordata; Mammalia; Rodentia; Muridae
Source: RNAcentral
UCCAUUUUUAAUAGGGUUAUAUGAUU